GACUCAGCGGUCUAAUGGUAGGGUGUUAUCCGCUGAACCAGAGGGUCCUGGGUUCGAUCCCUGACUGGGUCG
RNAcentral lists this transfer RNA (72 nucleotides) under Schistosoma japonicum. RNAcentral describes it as "tRNA-Gln". Lineage: Eukaryota; Metazoa; Platyhelminthes; Trematoda; Strigeidida; Schistosomatidae. The record is from RNAcentral.